This 569-nucleotide small RNA is filed under the name fungal sp. JH 49. RNAcentral describes it as "eukaryotic LSU rRNA". The stretch from base 214 to 367 matches the Rfam family "5.8S ribosomal RNA". Lineage: Eukaryota; Fungi. The record is from RNAcentral.
UUCCGUAGGUGAACCUGCGGAAGGAUCAUUAUCAAGAGAAAUCUUUCCCAACCGAAAGAUCUUUUCCUUUGUGCUGGCUUUGACUGUAUGUAAUUUUGGGACUUCAAAAUGGUUUCGUCGUAAAACAACGAGCCGGUCCCAAAAAACAAUAUAUCAUCCUUAUGAAAUUUUUCUGAACUUAUAAACAAGUGAUUUUAAUAAUCUGUUUAAAACAACUUUCAACAACGGAUCUCUUGGUUCUCGCAUCGAUGAAGAACGCAGCGAAAUGCGAUACGUAAUGUGAAUUGCAGAAUUCAGUGAAUCAUCGAAUCUUUGAACGCACAUUGCACUCCUUGGUAUUCCGAGGAGUAUGCCUGUUUCAGUAUCAUGAGCACUCUCACACCUAACCUUUGGGUUUUGGCGUGGAAUUGGAAUGCGCCAACUCUUCACAGGUUGGCCCUUCUAAAAUGUAGUUCUUGGCUGUCACCUAACACAGCAGUUUGGCCUAAUAGUUUUGGCAUUCAUUGUCAAAUCUUUGGCUAACAUUUGCUCCAGGAGUCAGUCUCGAUAAUACAGAAAACUCAUUCAAA